CAGUCGCCACGGGAAUACGGAGGGGGCUAGCGUUAAUCGGAAUUACUGGGCGUAAAGGGCGCGUAGGCGGACAGUUUAGUCGGGGGUGAAAGCCCGGGGCUCAACCUCGGAAUUGCCUUCGAUACUGGCUGUCUUGAGUGUGAGAGAGGUGUGUGGAACUCCGAGUGUAGAGGUGAAAUUCGUAGAUAUUCGGAAGAACACCAGUGGCGAAGGCGACACACUGGCUCACUACUGACGCUGAGGCGCGAAAGCGUGGGGAGCAAACAGGAUUAGAUACCCCUGUAGUCCCUGUCUCUUAUAC
RNAcentral lists this ribosomal RNA (301 nucleotides) under uncultured bacterium. Its description in RNAcentral is "partial 16S ribosomal RNA". It matches the Rfam family "Bacterial small subunit ribosomal RNA", at positions 509 to 807 of the family's 1533-position model. The record is from RNAcentral.